AAAUAUUGUCUCUUAGUCUGUAUUCUCUCCCACUGUUUGGUCUUUUUUUUACUCCAAAUAAGAGAACAUCCUUUUGUUUGAAAAUGUAAAUACUUUCUAAGAAUACCAUUUCAACAGUUAGGGUACACAUUAGGAAGAGUUUUUCUGAUCUUAACCACAUAAGCUAACAAAAGACAGAGAAUUCAGUGUCGUUUGCAAGAAUAUUAUACAAGUCUGACAUUGCAAAUCUUCAUUGGGUUUAUAUUAAUACAGCAUCAGGUCUGAAGUUUAUCGUAAUUACUAACAGGAUGGUCUUUCUAUCUUUUAUUGUUAUUAUUACAUGCUGUAUCUCUAUAUAGUAUCUUAUCAACAAUACAUUUUCUUUUAUGUGCCAAUGUAGCUGCCAACGAAGGAAACACCAGAGUUUGGGAGCGGCACCCUGGUUCCGGGAGCGAGGCAAAGAACACAGAACUAAAAGACCUGUUGUAUCCACUUCAACUAUAAAAAGUAGUUCCUCCUACAGCAAUGGCAUCCUUUGAAAUAUUUUAAGUUCAAGGAUAAUCUACUGGAAACAAGCCAUUCCAGGGUCAGUCUGUGCAAAAAUUCACGGAGUAUAUAGAAUGUGCACUGCAAAGCCACAGGUAAGGUCUUUCACUGCAUAUCUUUAAAUUAAGACAGUGAUGAUCAGUGUUUAAACUUUUAUGGAUGCUCCUCCUCAGAUGGAAUUUCAUGUAUCUCUCAAAUUGUUGUCCCCCUCUCACUCUCCAGAGACCCCUCCAGGUUUCCUGACCUGAGGUACCUCUCCCACACGACAAUGGUCACCAUCAUUUUCUUCUUUUCUAAAGAUCUCCCUCCACCAUCUUUCUCUCCUCAGUGUGUCAUUCUAUACCCAUAUUACUUUGUUCAUGAAGUCUCUUUUGGGAUGUAGUUAAGUACCUUCUAAAAGUAGUACCUUCUAAAAUGGCUUUUAAAAAAAAUUAAAAAAUCUGCCCAAAGCAACAAUAAAAAGGCCCCAGCAGCCCCCUCUCA
Molecule: long non-coding RNA, 1008 nt
Filed under: Calidris pugnax (ruff)
Lineage: Eukaryota; Metazoa; Chordata; Aves; Charadriiformes; Scolopacidae
Description: lncRNA (ENSCPUG00000007551.1)
Source: RNAcentral